Molecule: ribosomal RNA, 253 nt
Filed under: uncultured bacterium
Lineage: Bacteria
Description: partial 16S ribosomal RNA
Rfam family: Bacterial small subunit ribosomal RNA
Source: RNAcentral
UACGUAGGGUGCAAGCGUUAAUCGGAAUUACUGGGCGUAAAGCGUGCGCAGGCGGUGAUGUAAGACAGGUGUGAAAUCCCCGGGCUUAACCUGGGAACUGCAUUUGUGACUGCAUCGCUGGAGUGCGGCAGAGGGGGAUGGAAUUCCGCGUGUAGCAGUGAAAUGCGUAGAUAUGCGGAGGAACACCGAUGGCGAAGGCAAUCCCCUGGGCCUGCACUGACGCUCAUGCACGAAAGCAUGGGGAGCAAACAGG